Long non-coding RNA from Mastomys coucha (southern multimammate mouse), 340 nucleotides. RefSeq lists it as uncharacterized. The transcript has 2 exons. The record is from RefSeq and is a predicted model, not a curated record. NCBI's taxonomy places the organism in Eukaryota, Metazoa, Chordata, Mammalia, Rodentia, Muridae.
ACCUCGGAAGCUGAUGUCUUGGACCUGCUCUCUUUGGUGGGACAUCUAUAUUUGCUCACCACUCAGCUUGGAUCUAGAAGGUUGUCAGGACACCCAUUGGAUGCUCAGAGACUAACUGCAUCUUCUCAACCGCAACCUAGAGUGGGUCCAUCUGGCUUCCUUUCCCUGAUUGGUGCAUACCUGUAUCCCCAAUACAGGAACUGGUUCCAAAGACUCUACAGGGACUUCUUGAAGCAAAAUGGAAAACGGAGUCGGUGGUCUCAGAAGUCAGCAGAGGAUCUGGGGAGAGUUUCAGGGAAUCAGAGCCCAGCUUAGAGUGAACAAUGUCUUCCAAACAGUA